RNAcentral lists this ribosomal RNA (506 nucleotides) under uncultured bacterium. RNAcentral's name for it is "partial 16S ribosomal RNA". It matches the Rfam family "Bacterial small subunit ribosomal RNA", at positions 30 to 523 of the family's 1533-position model. The record is from RNAcentral.
AUUGAACGCUGGCGGCAGGCCUAACACAUGCAAGUCGAACGGUAACAGGAAACAGCUUGCUGUUUCGCUGACGAGUGGCGGACGGGUGAGUAAUGUCUGGGAAACUGCCUGAUGGAGGGGGAUAACUACUGGAAACGGUUGCUAAUACCGCAUAACGUCGCAAGACCAAAGAGGGGGACCUUCGGGCCUCUUGCCAUCGGAUGGGCCCAGAUGGGAUUAGCUUGUUGGUGGGGUAACGGCUCACCAAGGCGACGAUCCCUAGCUGGUCUGAGAGGAUGACCAGCCACACUGGAACUGAGACACGGUCCAGACUCCUACGGGAGGCAGCAGUGGGGAAUAUUGCACAAUGGGCGCAAGCCUGAUGCAGCCAUGCCGCGUGUAUGAAGAAGGCCUUCGGGUUGUAAAGUACUUUCAGCGGGGAGGAAGGGAGUAAAGUUAAUACCUUUACUCAUUGACGUUACCCGCAGAAGCAGCACCGGCUAACUCCGUGCCAGCCGCCGCCGUAA